CUUCUUGCCAAUAUGUGAAAGUCUGGCUGCCGGGAAGGGGGCCGUGCUGGAGAAAUCGCAUGGAAGGACCACACCAAGAAAGAUGCCUGAGGAGACCUGGCUGUCCCAGGCCCUAGCUGCUCAAGUCUUCUUUUCCCAGGCCUUAGACACAGGAGCCCAGAAGCCUUUAAGAUGCCCGGACAUCAUCUGACUGCGACCUCACUCCACAGGCCCAUUGAUCCGGAGGAACUGUACAGGAAGAGCUGUAGGUGAGAAAUUCACCCAAGGAGCGAUUAGAUGACAAGGCGCAGGACUUCAAGUUGAUGCUGCAAUGUAAUGAGACUUGAGGGCCAUGGAAAGGGGGAAGCCAGCUGCCAUGAUGUGAAAAGGCUCAUACUGCCCUGUGGAGAAGAGCGGAGGCCCCUGCCAUUUGGCAGCACCAGCUGCAGCCCUGUGUGCAGACCGCCUGGGGAGUCAAACCUCCAGCUCCAGUCGAGCCUUCAGAUGGGGGCAGCCCUUGCUGCAUCUGACCGCAGCCUCCUGAGAGAUCCUGAGCUGGAACCAGCCAGCCACACUGCUCCAGAACGAUAGUCCAAUGUCGGUGUCCCGGUCCGCAAGCAGGCUUCCCUCACGUGGAAAUCCAGGGCUGCCUCUUUUGGCUCCCUAACCCGUGGGAUCUCAGGCUUCUGCAUCCAGCUCGUGGAAGGGGAAGCUACUGAUGAUGCGCUGCUCCUUCAGUAUAAACCGAAAAAGAGGAAGAACGGAACACAGGAAAGAGGAGAUCCAAUGCAGUAGAGAGGAGAAGGGAAUUCCCACUUUGAUGCUGAAGGGACAUCUCAGGACAACAGCCAAUGCACCAACCAGGGAAAGAAACCAUCCACCCCCAGCAGUCCAGAGGCCAUGGAAAAACUCCUUCAAGAAGAUAAAUUGAUAGACUAUCUGAUGUGAAUGAAAGAAAACCAGUUGCCAUUGCAAGAGGUCACUCAUAAAAUUCCACGGAGAGUAACUGAAGCCUCCUGCCAACAGCCAUGGGGAUGAACCAUCCUGGAAGUGGAUCCCCAGCCCCAGACAAGCCUUCAGAUGAGACCACAGCCCUAGCCAACAUGACUGCAACCUCCUGAGAGACCCUGAGCCAGACCCACGCAGCUAAGUUGCUCCUGAAUUCCUGACUCUCAGAAACUGUGAUGUAAUGUUUAUUGCUUGAAGCUGCCAAAUUUGGGGCUGAUACUAUGCAACAACAGAUAACUAAUACACACUAUGAU
Molecule: long non-coding RNA, 1241 nt
Organism: Zalophus californianus (California sea lion)
Lineage: Eukaryota; Metazoa; Chordata; Mammalia; Carnivora; Otariidae
Exons: 6
Source: RefSeq, a predicted model, not a curated record